UACGGAGGAUGCAAGCGUUAUCCGGAUUUAUUGGGCGUAAAGCGUCCGCAGGUGGUUUUCCAAGUCUGCUGUUAAAGCGCGAGGCUUAACCUCGUACAGGCAGUGGAAACUGGAUGACUAGAGUAUGGUAGGGGUAGCGGGAAUUCCCAGUGUAGCGAUGAAAUGCGUAGAUAUUGGGAAGAACACCAGCGGCGAAAGCGCGCUACUGGGCCAUUACUGACACUCAUGGACGAAAGCUAGGGGAGCGAAAGGG
RNAcentral lists this ribosomal RNA (253 nucleotides) under uncultured bacterium. Its description in RNAcentral is "partial 16S ribosomal RNA". It matches the Rfam family "Bacterial small subunit ribosomal RNA", at positions 524 to 776 of the family's 1533-position model. The record is from RNAcentral.